Molecule: long non-coding RNA, 1420 nt
Organism: Myzus persicae (green peach aphid)
Lineage: Eukaryota; Metazoa; Arthropoda; Insecta; Hemiptera; Aphididae
Exons: 3
Source: RefSeq, a predicted model, not a curated record
AUGAGUAUUUUAGUAAUUAUUUUACUACGCUUACUUGCAUAUUAUAUAGUCGUAGACUUGAAUAAUGCAUACCGUCUUUCUAUAUUAUGUUGAACAUCACUAAGUAGGCGUAGCAAACUAUUCGAACCGCAGUCGAUACUUUGAGCUGACAGUGAAUCUUAAUGUUUGUCAAAAAAAUAUCAUUUAAACUAUAUAAAUAAAACGUUGAUAUUACACAUUGCCGUUUUGGGCUUAGCUUUUUCGACUGCAGAAACUUAAAGUACUUUGAUCACUCAGACAGUCUGUUUAUGAUAAAACAACAGAUGUACUCGAAACGAAUUUCAGUCCCCUGGACGCGUCGCCAAAAAAUUACAUUUUUUAACUUAUCGUGAGACCAGAGAGACUUGUGGUAUACACCGUAAACGGAUCAACUUUGAAACGUUCUCGUUUAAUCAACCCACUAAAGGACAAUAAUAUUCGGCAUAUACCUGUGCCCUUGAUCUAAAUGUUCUCAAUGUUCGAAAUAAACCCGAAGUACCGAAGCCAAUUUAACUGCCCGUUUUAUGCUGUCCAUCACAUUAAACUCAAAACAUUACACAAAUAUUUACAAUACUUAAGUAUAUUGUAUAUAAGUAUUACAGUAUUUCACCGUGUUUGUCCUCGUUCACACUCUAUCAUGCUAUUAUUGUAUAUUACAUGCUCUACUCUUCUGUCCACCUGUUGCAACAGCCUAACUUAUCCAACACUUUUUGAGGACUCAAAAUAGAAACUAGGUAUAUAGUUAUUGACAUGCUUUUUGGAAAUAUUUAUUAAUUUUUGUUUUUAUUUAAAUUGUAUAGCUAACCAACGAAUAUUAUAAAAUACGAAAACAUUGCUUCAGUAUAGCUCUAUCUUUUAUACAAACAAUUAUAAUUUAAAAAUAUGUGUUUAUUAUACAUAAAAUAAUCCACGACGAACAAGGUGAAACGACUAAGUGUCCACUAUAAAAACACGCUAUAUAUUCUAAUUUAAUAAAGAAUACAGCAUGAUAUCAUAUGACCAUACGCGAAAACUAAAAAGUAUAUUUUUAAUUCGUAUUAGCUCGCUUCUAGUCUAUUUGCAGGUAAAUGAUUAAGAUGUACCGAUUUUAAAGUCACUGAUUACAAAAACAAUCGCUCUCACUGUCACCCUCGUGUCCGGAAUAAUCUAAAAAACAGCUGUGGAACAUACCGCUGUCGCAGUUGACAUGCCGGGCGAUGGAAGACGCUGAGGAAAACCCCAAGUACAGUCUAGGUAAACAAGUACAUGCAUGUAAUUAUUUAUAUUAUUGUUUAUUGUCGUAAUAAGGUCAUGGCACUCCCAAAUUAUUUUCGAGUGUUUCCGUUUACGCAUAAACUGUAGACGGAUGUUUUUUCACGGUUCAAGUGUCUGUAGCGCGUUAUUAUAAUAUACAGGCUAUCGU